CUGGGGUCAUGAUCUCCUGGUUCGUGCGAUCGAGCCCCCAGCCGGGCUCCGUGCUGACAGUGCAGAGCCUGCUUGGGAUUCUCUGUCUCCUUCCCUCUCUCU
Molecule: long non-coding RNA, 102 nt
Organism: Lynx canadensis (Canada lynx)
Lineage: Eukaryota; Metazoa; Chordata; Mammalia; Carnivora; Felidae
Exons: 3
Source: RefSeq, a predicted model, not a curated record